RNAcentral lists this ribosomal RNA (253 nucleotides) under uncultured bacterium. RNAcentral describes it as "partial 16S ribosomal RNA". It matches the Rfam family "Bacterial small subunit ribosomal RNA", at positions 524 to 776 of the family's 1533-position model. The record is from RNAcentral.
GACAGAGGGUGCAAACGUUGUUCGGAAUCACUGGGCGUAAAGCGUGUGUAGGCGGUUAGGUAAGUCGGAUGUGAAAGCCCCGGGCUCAACCUGGGAAGUGCACCCGAUACUGCCUAGCUAGAGUAUCGGAGAGGUUGGUGGAAUUCUCGGUGUAGAGGUGAAAUUCGUAGAUAUCGAGAAGAACAUCGGUGGCGAAGGCGACCAACUGGACGAAUACUGACGCUGAGACACGAAAGCGUGGGGAGCAAACAGG